GGAGGAGUCGCAUAGUUGGUCUAGUGCAGCACGCUGCUAAUGUGCCAAGGGGUAACACCCUUCGUGGGUUCGAAUCCCACCUCCUCCG
This 88-nucleotide transfer RNA is filed under the name bacterium. Its description in RNAcentral is "tRNA-Ser". It matches the Rfam family "tRNA". Rfam says of the family: Transfer RNA (tRNA) molecules are approximately 80 nucleotides in length. Their secondary structure includes four short double-helical elements and three loops (D, anti-codon, and T loops). RNAcentral also lists the same sequence under 1 other name. The record is from RNAcentral.